UACGGAGGGUGCGAGCGUUGUCCGGAAUCACUGGGCGUAAAGGGCGCGUAGGCGGCUUGGGAAGUCCGUGGUGAAAGCUCGUGGCUCAACUACGAGUCGGCCAUGGAUACUCCUAAGCUCGAGUCGACUAGAGGCAGAUGGAAUUCCGGGUGUAGCGGUGGAAUGCGUAGAGAUCCGGAAGAACACCGGUGGCGAAGGCGGCCAUCUGGACCGCAACUGACGCUGAGGCGCGAAAGCGUGGGGAGCAAACAGG
This 253-nucleotide ribosomal RNA is filed under the name uncultured bacterium. Its description in RNAcentral is "partial 16S ribosomal RNA". It matches the Rfam family "Bacterial small subunit ribosomal RNA", at positions 524 to 776 of the family's 1533-position model. The record is from RNAcentral.